This 76-nucleotide small nucleolar RNA is filed under the name Sorex araneus (European shrew). RNAcentral describes it as "Small nucleolar RNA SNORA51 (ENSSARG00000019932.1)". The record is from RNAcentral. Lineage: Eukaryota; Metazoa; Chordata; Mammalia; Eulipotyphla; Soricidae.
GGACUCCUGGUGCGCACCACAGGCUGUAUUCUUUACAUGGACAAUAUAAAAAGAGGAGGCAGGGAGCUGGAGAUCG